This 497-nucleotide ribosomal RNA is filed under the name uncultured bacterium. RNAcentral describes it as "partial 16S ribosomal RNA". It matches the Rfam family "Bacterial small subunit ribosomal RNA", at positions 28 to 507 of the family's 1533-position model. The record is from RNAcentral.
GAUGAACGCUGGCGGCGUGCCUAAUACAUGCAAGUCGAGCGAACAGACGAGGAGCUUGCUCCUCUGACGUUAGCGGCGGACGGGUGAGUAACACGUGGAUAACCUACCUAUAAGACUGGGAUAACUUCGGGAAACCGGAGCUAAUACCGGAUAAUAUAUUGAACCGCAUGGUUCAAUAGUGAAAGACGGUUUUGCUGUCACUUAUAGAUGGAUCCGCGCCGCAUUAGCUAGUUGGUAAGGUAACGGCUUACCAAGGCAACGAUGCGUAGCCGACCUGAGAGGGUGAUCGGCCACACUGGAACUGAGACACGGCCCAGACUCCUACGGGAGGCAGCAGUAGGGAAUCUUCGGAAAUGGGCGAAAGCCUGACGGAGCAACGCCGCGUGAGUGAUGAAGGUCUUCGGAUCGUAAAACUCUGUUAUUAGGGAAGAACAAAUGUGUAAGUAACUAUGCACGUCUUGACGGUACCUAAUCAGAAAGCCACGGCUAACUACGUG